Molecule: ribosomal RNA, 964 nt
Filed under: Salmonella enterica
Lineage: Bacteria; Pseudomonadati; Pseudomonadota; Gammaproteobacteria; Enterobacterales; Enterobacteriaceae
Also listed under: 1 other name
Description: bacterial SSU rRNA
Rfam family: Bacterial small subunit ribosomal RNA
Source: RNAcentral
GCCCAGAUGGGAUUAGCUUGUUGGUGAGGUAACGGCUCACCAAGGCGACGAUCCCUAGCUGGUCUGAGAGGAUGACCAGCCACACUGGAACUGAGACACGGUCCAGACUCCUACGGGAGGCAGCAGUGGGGAAUAUUGCACAAUGGGCGCAAGCCUGAUGCAGCCAUGCCGCGUGUAUGAAGAAGGCCUUCGGGUUGUAAAGUACUUUCAGCGGGGAGGAAGGUGUUGUGGUUAAUAACCGCAGCAAUUGACGUUACCCGCAGAAGAAGCACCGGCUAACUCCGUGCCAGCAGCCGCGGUAAUACGGAGGGUGCAAGCGUUAAUCGGAAUUACUGGGCGUAAAGCGCACGCAGGCGGUCUGUCAAGUCGGAUGUGAAAUCCCCGGGCUCAACCUGGGAACUGCAUUCGAAACUGGCAGGCUUGAGUCUUGUAGAGGGGGGUAGAAUUCCAGGUGUAGCGGUGAAAUGCGUAGAGAUCUGGAGGAAUACCGGUGGCGAAGGCGGCCCCCUGGACAAAGACUGACGCUCAGGUGCGAAAGCGUGGGGAGCAAACAGGAUUAGAUACCCUGGUAGUCCACGCCGUAAACGAUGUCUACUUGGAGGUUGUGCCCUUGAGGCGUGGCUUCCGGAGCUAACGCGUUAAGUAGACCGCCUGGGGAGUACGGCCGCAAGGUUAAAACUCAAAUGAAUUGACGGGGGCCCGCACAAGCGGUGGAGCAUGUGGUUUAAUUCGAUGCAACGCGAAGAACCUUACCUGGUCUUGACAUCCACAGAAGAAUCCAGAGAUGGAUUUGUGCCUUCGGGAACUGUGAGACAGGUGCUGCAUGGCUGUCGUCAGCUCGUGUUGUGAAAUGUUGGGUUAAGUCCCGCAACGAGCGCAACCCUUAUCCUUUGUUGCCAGCGGUUAGGCCGGGAACUCAAAGGAGACUGCCAGUGAUAAACUGGAGGAAGGUGGGGAUGACGUC